Long non-coding RNA from Melopsittacus undulatus (budgerigar), 747 nucleotides. RefSeq lists it as uncharacterized. The record is from RefSeq and is a predicted model, not a curated record. The transcript is spliced from 3 exons. NCBI's taxonomy places the organism in Eukaryota, Metazoa, Chordata, Aves, Psittaciformes, Psittaculidae.
UGGACAGGUAUCAGACUUACCAAAUCUCCCUGCUCCAUAGAGCUCGGGGCAGGUACUGCAUUACUGAGGGGACCAUCAAACCACCCAAGGACCUCGGGUAUGUUAAUGCAGUGACACGGCUCCCAGAGGCGGGGACCUGCCGCACAACGCUGGGGACCAGAAGGCCCUGAGCUCUCCGGACUGAAGCCCCGGGGGAGGAACGGCUGCCAGGGCCUCCGAGCCCCGACAACGGGGCUGAGCCACGAGCAGGCGAAGCGGCCGGGGGAGCCCGAGGCCGCUCCUCACGCCGCGGCUCCUGCAGCGAGGCCGGCGGCUCCCUCAGGCCCUCUCAGCGGGAAGCCCUAAGUUCUGCUCUGGAGAUGUCCGCCUCAGACUUAUCAAGUCAAGAAACAAGGGGGAAAAAAAGAGAAAGAAAAGCCCAACCACAAGGCACAAACUGAAACAGUUUCUAUAAUCCAAACAACUGGGAAAGCUCAACAGCAAGCAGAGCAACCUCUUUUCUCUCCAUGGCUGAGCUCUACAAGGUUACAGAAGGGUGCAGCUGAAGCAGCCUGACCUGCCCGCAGUGGGAAGGCGACUCUGGCCGCCUGCCUUCUCAAACACACAUUCAUCAGUAGAUGGUGCUGUUGUGUUGGUGAACUUCCGAAGGGACUACCUGGCUCUGGAUUUCUGGUUUUUCCUACCUCCCUGACUUUAUCGUGAGCUUUCUUUGAUGCCUUUCAUAAUAAAGCCUAUCACUCAACAGGA